UCGUGAGAUGUUGGGUUAAGUCCGUAACGAGCGCAACCCUGUCCUUAGUUACCAGCACGUUAUGGUGGGCACUCUAAGGAGACUGCCGGUGACAAACCGGAGGAAGGUGGGGAUGACGUCAAGUCAUCAUGGCCCUUACGGCCUGGGCUACACACGUGCUACAAUGGUCGGUACAAAGGGUUGCCAAGCCGCGAGGUGGAGCUAAUCCCAUAAAACCGAUCGUAGUCCGGAUCGCAGUCUGCAACUCGACUGCGUGAAGUCGGAAUCGCUAGUAAUCGUGAAUCAGAAUGUCACGGUGAAUACGUUCCCGGGCCUU
This 316-nucleotide ribosomal RNA is filed under the name uncultured Pseudomonas sp. RNAcentral describes it as "bacterial SSU rRNA". It matches the Rfam family "Bacterial small subunit ribosomal RNA", at positions 1065 to 1382 of the family's 1533-position model. Lineage: Bacteria; Pseudomonadati; Pseudomonadota; Gammaproteobacteria; Pseudomonadales; Pseudomonadaceae. The record is from RNAcentral.